UCUGCUGCUCUGUACUGGCUCUGCUGCUCCCAUUGGCCAGGAACUACAGCCAAUGAGUUGUGGGGGGAGGUGCCAGCAGGCAGGGGCAAUGCACAGAGCUGUCUGCCUGUGCCUGUGCCUACGAGCCGAGGUACAUGUUGCCACUUCCCGGGAGCCACCUGAGAUGUGGCCUUCAGGAAUGCCCCACACACCCCGGCUGAUCAUCUCCGCCAGAUAAGAACCACCCAAGAGGCAGCAAAGAAGAUGUGUUCCGGGAGGUCCUGCAGUGCUCUUAUGCAGAAAAAAGGGAACAAAAGGAGUGCUGGGAAGCCAAAUGGCAGGACAGAAAAGAGAAUCAGGCGUUUGUUAAGUGGAUGAUUAAAGUAACGGAGGAGCAAA
Molecule: long non-coding RNA, 378 nt
Organism: Mauremys reevesii (Reeves's turtle)
Lineage: Eukaryota; Metazoa; Chordata; Testudines; Geoemydidae
Exons: 2
Source: RefSeq, a predicted model, not a curated record